This 249-nucleotide ribosomal RNA is filed under the name uncultured bacterium. RNAcentral describes it as "partial 16S ribosomal RNA". It matches the Rfam family "Bacterial small subunit ribosomal RNA", at positions 109 to 354 of the family's 1533-position model. The record is from RNAcentral.
AGUAAGACGUAAGGAACCUGCCCCUAUGCCUGGGAUAACUCUGGGAAACGAGAGCUAAUACCGGAUAGGUGAACGGAAGACAUCUUCGGUUCAUGAAAGAUGGGGAACAUCACAGAGGGAUGGCCUUACGGCGCAUUAGCUAGUUGGAGAGGUAGAGGCUCACCAAGGCGAUGAUGCGUAGCCGGCCUGAGAGGGUGAACGGCCACAUUGGGACUGAGACACGGCCCAGACUCCUACGGAAGGCAGCAG